CCUUGUUUGCCAGGCAAGCUUCCACGGCUUCGCCCACCGUGAGGAAGAACCAUCCUUCUCCGAUUCCGUCGACGAGCCGUGCCAGUUUCAUCUUGUGGAUCACCUGCCAUCCAGGCUUGGCUAUAGCCAUCUGCAAGUGGGACACGCCAGCUCCUUGUGCAGUUCUUCCAGCGCCACAAGACCUGAAGUAUCCAUGUUUACCACAUCUGCAAGAUAGGAACUCACAUGUCAGGAUAAUGCUAGGUAUUCCCUUUUGUGAUCCCAAUUGCUUGUGAUUAGUGUCUGUACUUUUCUUUGAUGGAACUGGAGUUGACGAAGCAAAGGAAUGAUGUUUCAAUGCGUACGGUCAGUACAGUCGGUGUUUCGUGAACCACUGGAUACUGCUUGACGUUACAGAAGAUUUCUGUGCCCUGAAGCCUCCCAAGAAUCUCUACUUGAGGCCAAAUCGACUGUAUAAUGAUCUUUGCAAAGGAAACAAGAAGCGCAACUGAAAGACCAAUCUCCACUGAUCCGAAUAGAACACCAAGGAAUGAUCCCAUGCAUGUGAGGAAGUCCAUCUUGUCGACUUUCCACAGGAAGCAGACUUCCUGCACAUUGAUCAAUCCUGGAAGAGCUGACAGAAUGAUUGAUGCAAGGAUGGACACAGGUGUGUAGUACAGGAGCUUUGUGAGAAGCUCCAAGGCAACCAUCACAGUGGCAGCCAUGAUAAUGUUUGAAACGGUUGUCUUGCAACCAGCAGCGAAGUUCACAGCUGUGCGCGAGAAUGAACCUGCAGAUAAUUACCAAAGUAAAGAUCCUGCUAUAUUCAUGAAGCCCAUUGCUACCAUUUCCUUAUUUCCGUCCAACCGAUAUCCAUUGAUCGCUGAAAAAGAGCGGCCAACAGCAACAGCUUCCUAGCAAUCACAGCACAAACAAGAGCAAUCUUUGCACAUUCGGCAGCAUAGCCUCCUUUGAGAUCUAUCUGCUCGACAGAACUUGCAUUAAUACCUGAAUUCACUUUUUGUAUAAUCUUCACGCCGUGCUUAUCCGCUCUUGUCGCAUAGACAAACAGAGUAGAUAGUGCAACUGAUAGUACAGGUGCAAUGGCAGAGACCCAAAAGAGUUUCUUGUACUUCCUUCCCUGAAAGUAUUCGCAUAUGCCUGCGCAUGCACAGGUUCAGAUUGAAUAUAAGGGCAAAUACUUACUGUUUCGUGAACUGAAACCCAGACUGCCUUGGUGACAGAGACGACAUCAGUUCUAUUUGUAAAAUGACUAAGUCCAAGCAGCCCCUUCAGCUGCUGUAAUCCAAUCACAAUAGCAGCUCCUCCCAUGAACCCGACGAUAGCAGCAUGUGAUAGAAAAUCCACAAGAAAUCCCAACACUACCUGAACAGACCAAAUGCAAACUGAAAGACACCAGUAAGGAAUGUCACGGUAAAGACCAUUUUUCGGUAGAACGCUGGAUCAACAGAUGGGUCAACUAUCUUCUGAAUCAUUGAUGAAAGCAAUAAUGACACAAUGGCAACUGGUCCAAUGGCUAUCUCCCUAGAGGACCCCGUCACAGCAUAUACAAGAGGUGGCACAACACUUGUAUCUUACCACAAAAUAAAACCAUAUUCAUCUCAAAAAACAAACAAUUACCUGUGGAAUGCUAAGGCUUGCAAGAGUUAGGCCAGCCAUGAGGUCACUUCGAAAGAAUUUCAGAUUGUAGGUUUUCCACCAGUCAAGUAUUGGAAACAGACCCUGUAGAACAGACAUCACAUACACAGACAGUGUGAAGCGCUUGUCUGCACCUUGCCAACGGAAUGCCUUCCUGAACAUGCCGGUGAGAUCAUUCCACAGGCUUGGGUGCUCUGGCCCUUGCAGCA
Molecule: small RNA, 1847 nt
Filed under: Oryza sativa Japonica Group (Japanese rice)
Lineage: Eukaryota; Viridiplantae; Streptophyta; Magnoliopsida; Poales; Poaceae
Description: sRNA Os03g0195350
Source: RNAcentral